Molecule: ribosomal RNA, 373 nt
Filed under: Pantoea sp. p91_F08
Lineage: Bacteria; Pseudomonadati; Pseudomonadota; Gammaproteobacteria; Enterobacterales; Erwiniaceae
Description: bacterial SSU rRNA
Rfam family: Bacterial small subunit ribosomal RNA
Source: RNAcentral
GAAUUACUGGGCGUAAGCGCACGCAGGCGGUCUGUUAAGUCAGAUGUGAAAUCCCCGGGCUUAACCUGGGAACUGCAUUUGAAACUGGCAGGCUUGAGUCUCGUAGAGGGGGGUAGAAUUCCAGGUGUAGCGGUGAAAUGCGUAGAGAUCUGGAGGAAUACCGGUGGCGAAGGCGGCCCCCUGGACGAAGACUGACGCUCAGGUGCGAAAGCGUGGGGAGCAAACAGGAUUAGAUACCCUGGUAGUCCACCCCGUAAACGAUGUCCACUUGGAGGUUGUGCCCUUGACGCGUGGCUUCCGGAGCUAACGCGUUAAGUCGACCCCCUGGGGAGUACGGCCGCAAGGUUAAAACUCAAAUGAUUUGACGGGGGCC